RNAcentral lists this transfer RNA (72 nucleotides) under Ophiophagus hannah (king cobra). It matches the Rfam family "tRNA". Rfam says of the family: Transfer RNA (tRNA) molecules are approximately 80 nucleotides in length. The record is from Rfam by way of RNAcentral. Lineage: Eukaryota; Metazoa; Chordata; Lepidosauria; Squamata; Elapidae.
UCCCUGGUGGUCUAGUGGUUAAGGAUUCAGUGCUCGCACCGCUGUGGCUGGAUUCGAUUCCUGGUCAGGGAA